UGGGCAAGACCGGUGCCACCCGCCGCGGUGACACCGGCAGCUCAAGUGGUACCCGCUUUUAUUGGGCCUAAAGCGUCCGUAGCCGGUCUGAUAAGUCUCUGGUGAAAUCCCACAGCUUAACUGUGGGAAUUGCUGGAGAUACUAUCAUGACUCGAGGUCGGGAGAGGCUGGAGGUACUCCCAGGGUAGGGGUGAAAUCCUGUAAUCCUGGGAGGACCACCUGUGGCGAAGGCGUCCAGCUGGAACGAACCUGACGGUGAGGGACGAAAGCCAGGGGCGCGAACCGGAUUAGAUACCCGGGUAGUCCUGGCCGUAAACGAUGUGGACUUGGUGUUGGGAUGGCUUCGAGCUGCCCCAGUGCCGAAGGGAAGCUGUUAAGUCCACCGCCUGGGAAGUACGGCCGCAAGGCUGAAACUUAAAGGAAUUGGCGGGGGAGCACCAC
RNAcentral lists this ribosomal RNA (441 nucleotides) under uncultured Methanothermobacter sp. Its description in RNAcentral is "bacterial SSU rRNA". It matches the Rfam family "Archaeal small subunit ribosomal RNA", at positions 443 to 882 of the family's 1478-position model. The record is from RNAcentral. Lineage: Archaea; Methanobacteriati; Methanobacteriota; Methanobacteria; Methanobacteriales; Methanobacteriaceae.